CUCACUCUGUCGCCCAGGCUGGAGUGCAGGGGCGCGAUCUCGGCUCACUGCAACCUCCGCCCCCUGGGUUCAAGCAAUUCUCCUGCCUCGGCCUCCCGACUAGCUGGGAUUACAGGUGUCUGCCACCGCGCCUGGCUAAUAUUUUUGUAUUUUUAGUAGACACGGGUUUCACCAUCUUGGCCAGGCUGGUCUUGAACUCCUGACCUCGUGAUCCGCCCGCCUCGGCCUCCCAAAGUGCUGGGAUUACAGGCCUAAGCCACCGCGCCCGGCCGGGCACAUUCUUGUCUGCCAACUCCAGGUGCUUAGGCAUGUGGACAUCCUUCUUGACCACCGUGACUUCCUCUUUAAAAAGGAGUUCAUAAAUGGCAAUCCGGUUUUUCUUAGGCAUCAGCAUUCUGGGGAGAAGCAGCCGCUAAGGUGGCAGGGUGGCCCGGAUGGGGGCCGAUGGAACUCGAACUCCCCCAUAAUUUAAUAUUUUAUAUAUAUAUAUAUAUAUAUAUACACACAUAUAUAUAUGUUGCUCGCUUAUUUUUUUUGUCUGUUCCCUUAUGUACCGGGAGUGCCAGGAGGACAGGGCUUUGUGUUUUCCUCACUGCUGUCUGGCUCAUGCAUAGCACAGUCCUUGGCACACGGUAAACACGCUGAGGAGAACCUUUCGGACUAGCGGACUCUGAGCAUCAUUCCGCUGGGCCCAGUGGGGCCUCUGAAGGGACCCGCCUUGCCCGGCUCCAGCCCAAGACGUGAGGCAUGCGCACCGGCUGGCCGGCUACUUCUUUCUUGACCUGCCAAGUGGCAGAGCGGCUGCGCUACCCAGUGCCGAGACAGACGCGAGCUGGAGAUGGGGGAACGGGACGGGGUGGUGGUGGGGGACGGCGGCGCCUGCGCAGUGAAGGAAUGUAGGCGGGGCCUCCAUGGCGCCUGCGCAGACGGCCGCAGCCCUGCUGGGCGCGAAGGGGCUGGCCAAGGGCGGGGCCCGCGAGGGAGGCCGGGCGGCCCGGCAAGCGGGGCUGUGGGUUAGGCUGCUUUCCUGAGGCCGGACUCAGCGGGUCUCGGCUGAGCCACCGGGUGAGCUCACCGCCCAGCCCAAACCAGGAGAUUGCGAGGGAGCGAUGCGGUGCAGCGCGUGUUGUUGGGGAAGAUCCCGACUAAGCCAUUUUCCAGUGGCACCUCUUCCAUCAUGAGUUCCUGAGGCAGUCCGAUGGGGCUACUUUAUUCCAGAACAAUCACAGUGAGACCUUUUCUCCCAAUAAAUUGCCCCUUUUCUCUCCUUAAUAUAUUCUCUUGCUUACAAAACACUGGUGUCUCCUUAUCAUGGUUUGGUUCUACCCCACUGGGCCCAAGAAUUCUUGCCCAGGAGCAACUGAAUUUUCUUCUUGCUUGCUUUUUAAAACUUUGGUGGGGUAGAGCCAAUUUUAAAUCUUCUGAUCCAUUUUUUCAUUGUUUUUCUCACCCUUCUGCAUUUUCUGCAAAUUCCGUUGAAUCAUUGCAGUUACUUAGGUUUGCUUCGUCUCCCCCAUUACAAACUACUUGCUGGAUUUUUCAACCCUAGUUCCCUCAUUUUUAUGAUUUAUGCUCAUUUCUUUGUACACUUCGUCUUGCUCCAUCUCCCAACUCGUGGCCCCUGGCUUUGGAUUAUUGUUUUGGUCUUUUAUUUUUUGUCUUCUUCUACCUCAACACUUAUCUUCCUCUCCCAGUCUCCUGUACCCUAUCACCAAGGUUGUCAUUAACCUUUCAUAUUAUUCCUCAUUAUCCAUGUAUUCAUUUGCAAAUAAGCGUAUAUUAACAAAAUCACAGGUUUAUGGAGAUAUAAUUCACAUACCUUAAAAUUCAGGCUUUUAAAGUGUACCUUUCAUGUGGUUUUUGGUAUAUUCACAAAGUUAUGCAUUGAUCACCACCAUCUGAUUCCAUAACAUGUUCAGUACCUCAAAAAGAAGUCUGUACUCAUUAGUAGUCAUUUCACAUUCACCACUCCCUCUGGCUCUGGGCAGUCACUGAUCUUUGUGUCUCUAUGGAUUUGCCUAGUCUAGGUAUUUUUAUGUAAAUGGAAUCAUACAACAUGUGACCUUUUGUUUGGCUUUUUUCAUUUAGCAAAAUGUUAUCAAGGUCUAUCCCUGUUGUAGCAUGUAUUAGCACUUCAUUUCUUAUAUGCUGAAUGAUAUACUUUAUUUGUCCAUCAGUUGUUCAUGCUUUAUUUGUCCAUCAGUUGAUGAACAUUUGCGUUUUUACCACUUUGGGCUAUUAUGAAUAAUGCUACUGUGAACAAGUGUGUACAAGUUCCUCUGCAAAUUUUUGUGUGGACAUAUCCUUUCAGUUCUCUCAGGUGUAUAUCUGGGAGUUGAAUUGCUGGGUCUUUGUAGUAGCUCUGUUAAACACUUUGAGAAACUGCUAUAAUGUUCUCCAGAGCUGUACCAUUUUAAAUUCUGUGUAUGAGGAUUCCACGUUCUCCACUUCCUCACCAGUGUAUGGAUUUGGGGGUAUACUUUUUAAAAAGUGGGAUUAGGCUGGGCACAGUGGCUCACACCUGUAAUCCCAGCACUUUGGGAAGCUGAGGUGGGAGGAUCACUUGAGCCUAGUAGUUUGAGACCAGCCUGGGCAACAUAGGGAGACCCUGUCUCUACAAAAAAUAAUUUAAAAUAAAUUAGCUGGGCGUUGUGGCACACACCUGUAGUCCCAGCUACAUGGGAGGCUGAGGCGGAAGGAUUCCCUGAGCCCAGAAGUUUGAGGUUGCAGUGAGCCAUGAUGGCAGCACUAUACUGUAGCCUGGGUGUCAGAGCAAGACUCCGUUUCAGGGAAGAAAAAAAAAAGUGGGAUGAUAUUUUUGACACUUUUCUUCUUGUUUUCUUAAUUUCAUACUUCUGGAAAUUCCAUUAAAUUAGCUGGUACCACUCUAACUCAUUGUGUUACAUGGCUGCAUAGUAAUAUUGCAUAAUAUAAAUAUACCAUUCAUUCAUCAAAGUUAGCAGAUAUUGACUGUUAGGUGCCAGGCACUGCUCUAAGCGUUAAAGAAAAACACAACAAAAACUUUUGCAUUCUUAGAGUUUAUUUUCCAAUGGAGGGGGUGGAGGGAGGUAAGAAUUUACGAAAUAAAUUAAUUACAUGUGUAGCAUAGGGUUUCACCAGUGAGUGCAGCUUGAAUCGUUGGCAGCUUUCUUGGUAGUAUAAAUACAGUACUAAAGAUGAAAUUACUCUAAAUGGUGUUACUUAAAUUACUGGAAUAGGUAUUACUAUUAGUCACUUUGCAGGUGAAAGUGGAAACACCAUCGUAAAAUGUAAAAUGGGAAACAGCUGGUUAAUGUGGAUCUGGAGUUUUUCUAGGACAUAAACUGAUGAGCUAGAAAAGUAAAUGUGUCAGUCCUUGGUAGCACAGUUUGUACGUUUAUAAAUUUUAUCCAAAUCCUCUUAAUCUAGUGAUUAAUAGACACUCUUCACAAAAGGAUGAGGGAGGUGUAUGUGUAUGUGUUGAAAGGUUCCGAAGGAUGCAACCGAGAGUACUUUGGGGGACAUGGCAAAACUUCCAGGCCCAUUCAAGAGUCUUGUUUUCUCCCUGAGCUUUUAUGUGUUUAUUAUAUUGCCCUAUUAAUUAUUGAGAUUGUGCCUUACAGUAAAAGCUGCUUUAAAUUGUUGACGCUAUAAUUUAAAAUAAUCUGGGUCACCUAGAGUGGUUAAGCCUGGAAGAAAAGGAUGUCCUUCCUGCCAGGGUAGAUUGUAUGUAGAUACGCAACCUGGUUGCGCCUGUGCUGACCUCUACUCUGUUGGGCCUGGAAGUAUGCGGUUCAACGUUUCUCGUCUGAUUUUUAAAAAAAAUUUGACUUUGUUUACUUUUUAUUUUAUUUUAAUUUAGAGACAAGGUUUCACUAUUUUGCACAGGCUGGUCUCAAAUUCCUGGGCUCAAGUGAUCCCCUUGCCUCGGCCUCCCAAAUACUGGGAUUACAGGCAUGAGCCACUGCACCUGGCCUUAACUUUGAAAUGAAGUUAGAAAUGUACAUUUUAUUUUUAUUAUUAUUAUUAUUAUUAUAAUUAUUAUUAUUAUUAUUUUAGAAACAGGUCUAGCUCUGUUGCCCAGGUUGGAGGGCAACAAUGGUGCAAUCACAGCUCACUGCAGCCUCCACCUCCUGGGCUCAAGUGAUUUUCAUGCCUCAGCCUUCCGAGUAGCUGGGAUUACAGGCAUGUGCCACCAUGCCCAGCUAAUUUUUUGUAUUUUUAGUAGAGACUGGGUUUCACCAUGUUGCUCAGGCUGGUCUUCUGACCUCAAGUGAUCUGCCCGCCUCAGCCUCCCAAAGUGCUGGGAUUACAGGCGUGAGACACCACGCCCAGGUGAACAGAAUAGUUUUCCAUUCACCACAGUUUGUGAUUGUCUCUACAUUGUGAAGUGACAAGUUCUCUUCUAUUUUCCUUCUGCCCCUCAUCACCUUUUUCUUCCUCAUUUCUUUUUUGAAUUUUGCUGUCUUGAAUUGGUGUCUAAAGGAUGACAUAGCAGACAAGGGGACUGACACAUGAACUCUCAUGAGUUACUGAGGAGUUUCUCAGUGCUCUAUCUGCAUCAUCUGCUCACUCUCUCCUUCCUAGGUGCUAGCCUGCCAACCUGCUUUGAGAAAUUGGAAAUGAAUCAAGGGGUAAUCAGCCUCCCCUUGUACAUAUAGGGACCGCAUCUCCAAUGCCUUGCUUUACAUAAUGACGAAUGGUGUUUUGCUUACCUACUUCCACACAAACUGCUGAUAUGGUUAGGAUUUGGGAAAGGGGAAGAAGGGAAUUUUGGGUUUUGAGGAGUAGCUGGGGCUUGAACAAAGAAGAGGUAGUAAUGAACAUUCCUGGGGUGAGGCAAUUAGUUAGCUGAGGGAGAAGAAGUCAUAUAAUAAAUUAGGGAUUGACAGACUGUCUGUAAAGGGCCAGACAGUAAAUGUUUUAGUCAUUGAAGACCUUAAGGUCUCUGUUGCAUCUAAUCAACUCCAUCAUUGUAGUGCAAAAGUAACCACAGCCACUACAGAUGUGAAUGAAUGUGACUAUGUUUCAAUAACUUUUUUUUUUUUUUUUUUUUUGAGACAGCGUCACUCUGUUGCUCAGGCUGGAGGGCAGCAGUAUGAUCACAGCUUAUUACAGCCCUGACUUCCCAGGCUCAAGUGAUCCUCCCACCUCAGCCUUCCAGGUAGCUGGGACUACAGGCACUUGCCACCACCCCCCAUUAGUUUUUGUAUUUUUUUGUAGAGGUGGGGUUUCACCAUGUUGGCCAGGCUGGUCUUGAACUCCUGAACUUCUGGGCUCACGCUAUCCACCCUACUCGGCCACCGAAAGUGUUGGGAUUACAGGCAUGAGCCAGUGUCCAGCCCAAAAUAGUCUUUUGAUUUUUUUUCCCCCAACCAUUUAAAAGUGCAAAACAUUCUUAGUUUUUGGGCUGAAAAAAGACAAAUGAUGGGUCAGAUUUGGCCCCGGAUUGUGGUUUGUUGACCCCUUUUAUAGAGGAACAGGAAGCAGAGAGGACUGGUUAUAGGGCCUGGGAAACCAAGCCAGGGAGUUAGACUUAAGGUAGUAUGAAAGAGGAAACCAUUUUUGUAAUGUAAUGAAAAUUUUAAAGGAAGGAUGUUUUGUAUUUAUAUGUGUUCCUGGAAGCAUCUGAGUUUUUAUUCAAAACAUGUUUUCACUAUGGAAAAUUUCAAACAUUUACAAAGUAGAGAGAAAAAUGUAAUGAAAUACCAAGUGAUGUAUUUAUCACCUACCUUCAACAAUUAUCAGUCCUAGGUCCUUUGCAUUUCUGUGUUUUAGAAUCAACUUGUCACAUUCUACAAAAAAGCUCCUGGAAUUUCUGUUGGGAUUGUUUUGAUUCUGUAGAUAAUUUCAGGGGAAGAAUUGACUUCUUAAUAAAAUUGAAUCUCCUAACCCAUGACCAUGGUAUACUUCUCAAUUUAUUUAGUCUUUCUUUAAUUUUUCUCAACAAUAUUUUUGUAGUUUUCAGUGUACAAAUCUUUCCAGUUUUUUGAAGGGAUGUGGUCAGAUUUACUCCUAUUUCAUAUAUUUUGAUACUGUGAAUUUCAGCUUCCAGUUAUUCAUUGCUAAUAUAUAAAAAUACACUUGGUUUUUGUAUAUUAAUCUUGUAUCCUGAGACCUUAAUGUAAUUUGUUUUCAAAGCUUUUCUGUGGAUUCCAUCGGCUAUUCUGUCAAUGUUGUCUGUGAAUAAAGACAGUUGUACUUUUUUCUUCCCACUCUGAAUGCCUUUUAUUUAUUUUUCCUUCCUUUACUGCACUGGCUAGAACUUCUAAGUACAUAAUGAAUAGAAGUGUAACUGCCCAAUGGGUUCACCUUGCCCAUUGCCUAGACAGAACCGAUUCACCAAGACGGGAAUUGCAAUAGAGAAAGAGUAAUUCAGGCAGAGCCUGCUGGGUGGGAGACCGGAGUUUUAUUAUUACUCAAAUCAGUCUCCCUGAGCAUUUGAGGAGCAGAGUUUUUAAGGACAGCUUGGUAGGUGGGGGGAAGCCAAUGGGCCAGGAGUGCUGAUUGGUCAGGGAUGAAAUCAAAGGGAGUUGAAGCUUUCUUCUUGAGCUGAGUCAGUUCCUGGGUGGGGGCCACAAGAUCAGAUGAGCCAGUUAAUCGAUCUGGAUGGUGCCAGCUGAUCCAUCAAGUGCAGGGUCUGCAAAAUUUCUCAAGCACUGAUCUUAAGAGCAGUUUAGGGAGGGUCAGAAUCUUUACCCUUCAGCUGCAUGACUCCUAAACCAUAAUUUCUAAUCUUGUGUCUAAUGUGAGUCCUACGAAGGGAGUCUGGUGCCCAGGCAAGAAGGAGGUCUGCUUUGGGAAAGGGCUGUUACCAUCUUUGUUUUAAACUAUAAACUAUAAACUAAGUUUCUCCCGAAGUUAGUUCAGUCUACACCCAGGAAUGAGCAAGGACAACUGGGAGGUUAGAAGCAAGAUGGAGUCGGUUAAGUUAGAUCUCUUACUAUCUCAGUCAUAAUUUUGCAAAGGCAGUUUCAAUCGUGGUAAAAGUGGAUUUCCUUGUCUCAUUUUUGAUCCUAUGGGGAAAAUAUUCAGUCUUAACGUCAUUCAGUAUGAUAUUAGCUACAGGUAUUUCAUAUAUGCUGUUUAUCAGGUUUAGUAGGUUAUCCUCUGUGUGGAGUUUUGUAUUUUUUUAAUAAGGAAUGAAUGUUGGGUUUUGUUUAGUGUUUUUCUGUGUGUAUUGAGAAGAUCAUACGGCUUUUCUGUUUUAGUUUACAAUGUGGUGAGUUACAUUGAGUUUUGAAUUUUUUUUUUUUUUUUUUU
Gorilla gorilla gorilla (western lowland gorilla) is the source of this 7242-nucleotide long non-coding RNA. RefSeq lists it as uncharacterized. The record is from RefSeq and is a predicted model, not a curated record. Lineage: Eukaryota; Metazoa; Chordata; Mammalia; Primates; Hominidae. The transcript has 2 exons.